AGUUCCGGAGGAUCUGGACCUGACGGGGUCUGGUCCCCGCAACCCAGAGAAGACAACUUGGGAAUUCCUGAAGAUCUGGACCUGACGGGGUCCGGUCCCCGCAACCCAGAGAUGAGGACUUGAGAGUUCUUGAGGAUCCGGACCUGACGGGGUCCGGCCCCCGCAACCCAGAGAGGACAACUUGGGAAUUCCUGAAGAUCCGGACCUGACGGGGUCCGGCCCCCGCAACCCAGAGAGAGGAUGACUUGGAAGUUUCUGAAGAACUGGACCUGACGGGGUCCGGUCCCCGCAACCCAGAGAGGAUGACUUCGGAGUUUCUGAAGAUCCGGACCUGACGGGGUCCGGCCCCCGCAACCCAGAGAAAGGACGACUUGGAAAUUUCUGAAGAUCCGGACCUGACGGGGUCCGGUCCCCGCAACCCAGAGAAAGGACGACUUGGAAAUUUCUGAAGAUCCGGACCUGACGGGGUCCGGCCCCCGCAACCCAGAGAGGACAACUUGGAAGUUUCCGAAGAUCUGGAUCCAAUGGGAUCACAACCCAGAAAAUGAAGGAGUUCCUGAAGAUCGGGACCUGAUGGGGUCCAGACUCUGCAACCCAGAGAUGACGGCUCUGGAAUUCCUGCGGAUCUAGAUCUGAUGACAUCACAACUCAGAGAACUGAGCUCUUCUUUUAGGAGUUCCUGGGGAUCUGGACCUGACGGGGUCCGGCCCCCGCAACCCAGAGAGGACAACUUGGAAGUUCACGAAGAUCCGGACCUGACGGGGUCCGGCCCCCGCAACCCAGAGAGGACAACUUGGAAGUUCACGAAGAUAUGGAUCCAAUGGGAUCACAACCCAGAAAAUGGAGGAGUCCCUGAAGAUCCGGACCUGACGGGGUCCGGCCCCCGCAACCCAGGAAGGACUUGGGAGUUCCUGAAGAUCUAGAAGCAAUGGGAUCACAACUCAGAAAACUAAGGAAUUCAGUGGAUCUGGACCUGAUAAGAUCCGUCCCCCAUAAUCCUGAUAGAAGAUCGCUCAGGUGUUUUUCGUGCAUCCAGGCCUGCUGGGGUCUAGCCCUUGCAACUCAGAGAAAGUACUUCUGUGAAAAAAACUACCUAUUAUCUUAUGUACUUAGAUUCAGCUUUUUGAAGCUGUCUCUGUCUCUAUCUCCUGAAGGUCUGAAUUGACCUGAUAGCCUGGAGGGGGGGGUGGCGGCGGGACAAUACAACAUACAGCAAAUCAACCUGUUAAACUAAAUAAACACUGUCAGUGUGUGUAUGCUGGGUUUGCU
RNAcentral lists this long non-coding RNA (1269 nucleotides) under Monodelphis domestica (gray short-tailed opossum). Its description in RNAcentral is "lncRNA (ENSMODG00000035733.2)". Lineage: Eukaryota; Metazoa; Chordata; Mammalia; Didelphimorphia; Didelphidae. The record is from RNAcentral.